ACGCUGGCGGCACGCCUAACACAUGCAAGUCGAACGAAGUAGCAAUACUUAGUGGCAGACGGGUGAGUAACAUGUAGGUAUCUGCCCUUUGGCCUGGAAUAACACGAGGAAACUUGUGCUAAUACUGGAUAAGUCUUUACGGAGAAAGCUUUAUGCACCAUUGGAUGAGCCUGCACUUGAUUAGUUUGUUGGUGGGGUAAUGGCCUACCAAGACUGUGAUCAAUAGCUGAUUUGAGAGGAUGAUCAGCCACAUUGGGACUGAGACACGGCCCAAACUCCUACGGGAGGCAGCAGUGGGGAAUCUUGCACAAUGGAGGAAACUCUGAUGCAGCGAUGCCGCGUGAGUGAAGAAGGCCCUUGGGUUGUAAAGCUCUUUCGUCGGGGAAGAAAAUGACUGUACCCGAAUAAGAAGGUCCGGCUAACUUCGUGCCAGCAGCCGCGGUAAUACGAAGGGACCUAGCGUAGUUCGGAAUUACUGGGCUUAAAGAGUUCGUAGGUGGUUGAAAAAGUUGGUGGUGAAAUCCCAGAGCUUAACUCUGGAACUGCCAUCAAAACUUUUCAGCUAGAGUAUGAUAGAGGAAAGCAGAAUUUCUAGUGUAGAGGUGAAAUUCGUAGAUAUUAGAAAGAAUACCAAUUGCGAAGGCAGCUUUCUGGAUCAUUACUGACACUGAGGAACGAAAGCAUGGGUAGCGAAGAGGAUUAGAUACCCUCGUAGUCCAUGCCGUAAACGAUGUGUGUUAGACGUUGGAAAUUUAUUUUCAGUGUCGCAGCGAAAGCGAUAAACACACCGCCUGGGGAGUACGACCGCAA
This 810-nucleotide ribosomal RNA is filed under the name uncultured Pelagibacteraceae bacterium. RNAcentral describes it as "bacterial SSU rRNA". It matches the Rfam family "Bacterial small subunit ribosomal RNA", at positions 33 to 891 of the family's 1533-position model. The record is from RNAcentral. Lineage: Bacteria; Pseudomonadati; Pseudomonadota; Alphaproteobacteria; Candidatus Pelagibacterales; Candidatus Pelagibacteraceae.